Molecule: long non-coding RNA, 1570 nt
Organism: Podarcis muralis (Common wall lizard)
Lineage: Eukaryota; Metazoa; Chordata; Lepidosauria; Squamata; Lacertidae
Source: Ensembl
AUGUUUCACAGGCUCUUCACGAUACUUCAAGAUGACACUAUUCUCCUUGGAAUCAGCAUGCCUUCUAUCGCCAGCCUUCCCAGCACUAAAGCGGUACUUCCACCCCAGGCGCAUGAUGGGUCCUUCCCAGUCCGCCUGUUGUGCAGGGUGUCCUGCGUGCAACUAGCUGCCUUUCUCCUGGCUGUCCUGGGCUGCCUAAUGAGCAUCUGCUCCACAUCUGCCAACCUUGACUGGAGAGUGUGGCAAGUAGACAAAAUCAUGGGCAGCAACCAGCAGGGCAUUGUGGGCAUUGGCAUCUGGGGUGCCUGUUCCAUAAGAAGAGUUACUAUGAAGAAAACCAACAUGAUAUGUAUACCAUUCAACGAUGAGGAGUCCCUGCCAGCGGAAAUCAUGGUGGCCCAGGACUUGAUGCCAAUGGCCUCAGUGGCCAAUGCGGUGACCGUUCUUUGGGUGGCCUUUGCUCUAUGCAACAUCUUUGAGCCGGGAAAAGACGAGAAUUUCAUUGAUACCUUCUUUUCAAUUGGAGGAAGGAUGGAGUUGGCAGCGGGUACUUGUGUACUGAUUCCCAUUGCAUGGAAUCUUUAUUCUGUAUUAACAAACGAAGGAAUUCCACUUCCAGAGGUUUUGGGAGUUCCUCCGAUUCCCACAGAACAACGUGCUGGAAUGGCCAUCUAUAUUGGGUUUCUUGCUGCAGCUUCGCAGCUUUUAAGCGGAACUCUGGCUCUGGGUGAAAAAUAUUUUUGGAAGAUGAGUGAAAUAAACACUUCCAAGCCAAAAUUUGUAAAUGACCCAGAAAGUGUUACAGACACUGAAAACCCAAAGCUAAGCAUGAAAUACAGACAGUACUUCUCUUCUGUGACACUUGAAUGUGAAGAAGAAAAACCCCCUAUCUGGCAAAGAUCUCAAAGUCAUAUUAAAACGGAAACCAUGCCAAGCUCACUAGCAAUAUGGCUAAUGAAUGGUUCCCGUCCUGUGACUGGCUUUUUGCGUGGACAGGCGGAGUCCCCAGAUCCUGCACAGUCCCCCCUUCAUGUGGAAUAACGACUCAAGACAACGUGCUAUGGGAUUAAAUUGGCCACAACUUUAUUAAAUUUCAAAUGUGGGUAGACCUUGGCUCAGGCAUUGGGCGUUCUCCCUCCCCAGUCCCCAGCCGGGGACCUAGGGAGCAUCAGGGUUAUCCAGUGUGUGUGGGGGGGGGGGGAUGGGCCGGCUAUGGAGAACAUAUGUUCAAGCAGAGAUAGCCGCCCCCGUAACGCCGCCGCCGCAGGGGAGAGCAAUGACGACCUUUCGGCGUACGGUCAAAGCCUCCCUUCAGAAACCCCUUUAACGGGGAACCCUGGUAUCGCCGCCGCAAAGAGGAAGAUGGACUAAAGGAUUCCGCCCAAGGCCUGAUACCGCCAAAGUUGUGACGUUUUGCUACGGGAAAGGCGAAACCUGCCAAUGCAGGGAAAUUCCUUUCCGGCACUUUAACAGCGACCUUAACGUAGCAGCGCCCGCAUACCUGUGAAGAAAAGUUAACCUGCAAAACCUGUGAAGAAAAGUUAAACUGCAAAUAAGACAUUAACUGAGG